GCAGCACCUCUGGGCAGCAGAGCAUCCUGCAAGAACUGCUUCUCUAUUGCCUAGUCUGGGAAGGGCUGGCCACCAGCUCCCUAUGGAGGACUAAUUCAGUGUGGAAAGAAGUCUCAUCAGCAUCAAUCAUGUGCAACUAUCAGGAAGCAAAAGCCCUACAGGACUAUCUCCCAUGAUGUGGCUAUGGAGGGCCAAGACAAUAGUAAUUUUUCAAUUUUAUAACAAUAUACACAAAAUAUUUAACACU
Molecule: long non-coding RNA, 247 nt
Organism: Pseudopipra pipra
Lineage: Eukaryota; Metazoa; Chordata; Aves; Passeriformes; Pipridae
Exons: 2
Source: RefSeq, a predicted model, not a curated record